RNAcentral lists this ribosomal RNA (461 nucleotides) under uncultured bacterium. RNAcentral describes it as "bacterial SSU rRNA". It matches the Rfam family "Bacterial small subunit ribosomal RNA", at positions 355 to 819 of the family's 1533-position model. The record is from RNAcentral.
UGGGGAAUUUUGGACAAUGGGGAAACCCUGAUCCAGCCAUUCCGCGUGAGUGAAGAAGGCCUUCGGGUUGUAAAGCUCUUUCGGCAGGAACGAAACGGUUUGGGCUAAUACCCCAGACUACUGACGGUACCUGAAGAAGAAGCACCGGCUAACUACGUGCCAGCAGCCGCGGUAAAACGUAGGAGACGAACGUUAUCCGGAGUUACUGGGCGUAAAGGGCGUGUAGGCGGUUUGUUAAGUCUGGCGUGAAAGCUCUCGGCUAAACCGGGAGAGGUCGUUGGAUACUGGCGAACUAGAGGAUGGUAGAGGCGUGUGGAAUUCCGGGUGUAGUGGUGAAAUGCGUAGAGAUCCGGAGGAACACCAGUGGCGAAGGCGACACGCUGGGCCAUACCUGACGCUAAAGCGCGACAGCAUGGGGAGCAAACGGGAUUAGAUACCCAAGUAGUCCCUGAGCGGGCUGG